GGAGAGUUGGCAGAGAGGCCGAAUGCGGUCGAUUGAUAUUCGGCUGGCUGGUUACGUACUGGCCCGGGGGUUCGAAUCCCCCACCCUCCGCCC
RNAcentral lists this transfer RNA (93 nucleotides) under Armatimonadota bacterium. RNAcentral describes it as "Armatimonadetes bacterium tRNA-Ile". It matches the Rfam family "tRNA". From Rfam's summary of the family: Transfer RNA (tRNA) molecules are approximately 80 nucleotides in length. The record is from RNAcentral. Lineage: Bacteria; Bacillati; Armatimonadota.